UUUGAAGUGGCAUCACUUUGUCACGAAAGAAUUUCUGUUCGGGAGAAUCUCGCGGCCUAUCAGCUUGUUGGUGAGGUAAUGGCUCACCAAUGCUACUACGGGUAGCUGGUCUGAUAGGAUGAUCAGCCACACUGGUACUGACACACGGCCCAAACUCCUACGGGAUGCAGCAAUGGGGAAUCUUGUGCGAUGUACCAAAGUCUGACACAGCCCCUCCGCGUGCGGUAAGAAGGCCUUCGGGUUGGAGACCGCUUUCUUCAGGAACGAAAAUGACGGUACCUGCAGAAGAAGGGCGGCCAACUACGUGCCAGCAGCCGCGGUGACACGUAGGCUCCAAGCGUUGUCCGGAUUUAUUGGGCGUAAAGAGCUCGUACGCGGUUCAGCAAGUCAGGUGUGAAAACUCUGGGCUCAACCCAGAGCCUGCACCCGAAACUGCUGUGACUAUAGUUCGGUAGGGGAGUGGGGAAUUCCUAGUGUAGCGGUGAAAUGCGCAGAUAUUAGGAGGAACACCGAUGGCGAAGGCACCACUCUGGGCCGAUACUGACGCUGAUGAGCGAAAGCGUGCGUAGCAAACAGGAUUA
This 581-nucleotide ribosomal RNA is filed under the name uncultured Actinomycetes bacterium. RNAcentral's name for it is "bacterial SSU rRNA". It matches the Rfam family "Bacterial small subunit ribosomal RNA", at positions 173 to 780 of the family's 1533-position model. The record is from RNAcentral. Lineage: Bacteria; Bacillati; Actinomycetota; Actinomycetes.